Molecule: non-coding RNA, 841 nt
Organism: Pelobates cultripes (western spadefoot toad)
Lineage: Eukaryota; Metazoa; Chordata; Amphibia; Anura; Pelobatidae
Source: the annotation of a GenBank genome assembly
ACCCCCAUAGAGGUGGAAGGCGUCCAGGUCCAGCUAUAUCAGGACCUGGCGCCGACCACCCUGAAAAAGCGACGGGACCUGCGCCCCCUCACGCAUCACCUCACCCAGCACGGCCUCAGGUAUGCUUGGGGCCACCCAUUUAAGCUUAUUGUCCGCAGGGAGGGCAGGUUCCACGCCAUCUCACGGGGGACGGGCGGAUAGACAGAGGGGGGGCAGACGAGUACACAGGGGACAGGAUACACCUGCCAGACGUGACCACACAUGCACUAGGGGACACAGGUUCCCACACCGGGUCCACCACCGCCUGGACAGCUACCACAACUGACGGGACCCGGACCCUGGGGAGCCCAGCCCCCCCUUAUAAACGCACAGGCGGGUGCCUCUACACGCCACCAGCCGUGCUAGACAGACCCGGACCCUGGGAGGGAAGGCCGAAGCCACAGCACCGGAGCGCGGUCAGGUCCCGGACACCAUGGGAUCCUAAGACGGGUAACCGGGAGGCUGAGAGACCCUCCCACAUGGAGCCCAAUGGCCCCCGGGACGGACAGACCCCUCUGGGGCCCCAACCAGUCAGACAUGACCGGACGAGCCUCGACAGCCCUCUACCCUCAGGACCGUGGAGCAUAGGCCCCCUUGCCCUAACACGCUGCGCAGCCCACAGAACCCGUGGCGAGGGGUCCAGCCCAGACACAAGCUGACCAGACACAUCCACCCAGCCCCACACGAGGAACCCACACACAUGCACUAAUGGGGACCACAGAUCAGAGCCACUGGACGGCCCUGAGACGCCAUCUGUAGGGGAUGGACCUGGCCUCCCCACCCCCAGGACGGCCGGAGACAC